GAUGAACGCUGGCGGCGUGCCUAAUACAUGCAAGUCGAGCGAACAGAUGAGGAGCUUGCUCCUCUGACGUUAGCGGCGGACGGGUGAGUAACACGUGGAUAACCUACCUAUAAGACUGGGAUAACUUCGGGAAACCGGAGCUAAUACCGGAUAAUAUCUUGAACCGCAUGGUUCAAUAGUGAAAGACGGUUUUGCUGUCACUUAUAGAUGGAUCCGCGCCGCAUGAGAUAGUUGGUAAGGUAACGGCUUACCAAGGCAACGAUGCGUAGCCGACCUGAGAGGGGGAUCGGCCACACUGGAACUGAGACACGGUCCAGACUCCUACGGGAGGCAGCAGUAGGGAAUCUUACGCAAUGGGCGAAAGCCUGACGGAGCAACGCCGAGUGAGUGAUGAAGGUCUUCGGAGCGUAAAACUCUGUUAUUAGGGAAGAACAAAUGUGUAAGUAACUAUGCACGUCUUGACGGUACCUAAUCAGAAAGCCACGGCUAACUACGUG
Molecule: ribosomal RNA, 497 nt
Filed under: uncultured bacterium
Lineage: Bacteria
Description: partial 16S ribosomal RNA
Rfam family: Bacterial small subunit ribosomal RNA
Source: RNAcentral